AACGGCGUAGCUCAGACGGAUAGAGCAUCCCGCUUUCGACAUACACCGGACUCGCAAUUCGAUUGUAUGGGCGGGGAGGUCGCGGGUUCAAGUCCCAGCCGCCGUUU
Molecule: transfer RNA, 107 nt
Filed under: Betaproteobacteria bacterium
Lineage: Bacteria; Pseudomonadati; Pseudomonadota; Betaproteobacteria
Description: tRNA-OTHER
Rfam family: tRNA
About the family: Transfer RNA (tRNA) molecules are approximately 80 nucleotides in length.
Source: RNAcentral